GACGAACGCUGGCGGCGUGCUUAACACAUGCAAGUCGAACGGAAAGGCCCUGCUUUUGUGGGGUGCUCGAGUGGCGAACGGGUGAGUAACACGUGAGUAACCUGCCCUUGACUUUGGGAUAACUUCAGGAAACUGGGGCUACUACCGGAUAGGAGCUCCCGCUGCAUGGUGGGGGUUGGAAAGUUUCGGCGGUUGGGGAUGGACUCGCGGCUUAUCAGCUUGUUGGUGGGGUAGUGGCUUACCCAGGCUUUGACGGGUCGCCGGCCUGGGAGGGUGACCGGCCACAUUGGGACUGAGAUACGGCCCAGACUCCUACGGGAGGCAGCAGUGGGGAAUAUUGCACAAUGAGCGGAAGCCUGAUGCAGCAACGCCGCGUGCGGGAUGACGGCCUUCGGGGUGUGAACCGCUUUCGCCUGUGACGAAGCGUGAGUGACGGUAAUGGGUAAAGAAGCACCGGCUAACUACGUG
Molecule: ribosomal RNA, 468 nt
Filed under: uncultured bacterium
Lineage: Bacteria
Description: partial 16S ribosomal RNA
Rfam family: Bacterial small subunit ribosomal RNA
Source: RNAcentral